UUUUUUUUUUUUUUUUUUUUUUUUUAAUAGCAUGAAGUUAGUAUCAGCUACAGUACUGUUGGGGAAAGAUAAAAUUCUGAUAUUUCAGUCUUUUUGGCUUAAGGACAAAACAAAGAGUUUAGGUAAUGAUGGUCCUUGGAAAGUGAGUGUAUUUUGGAAAGGAAAGCCAUCGAUGUCGAGCCCACAACCUGCUUUAUAAACUGUGCCCAAGUUUCUAAGUGACCCUUGAAACAUGCAAGCUCUGAGCACACUACCACCAGCCUAGUGAAGGAGGGGGGGAAUAACAGAAAACAAACACAUACAAAAAUGAGAUUGGAGUCAAAAUGUCAACCAAAUAUUAAAGCAAAAGACAUUUUCAGAUGAAAGGAAAUCAAGAGAAGUCCUCACCAGCAGAUAUGCAGUAUAAGAAACACUGAGAAUGUUCUUAAGAUGAAGGGAAAUCAUAUCAGACGGAAAAUUGAAUCUCCAGAAAUAAAUGAACAGCAUCAGAAACAGCAUGUAUUGUAGUAGAUAUAAAAGAUUUUUCCUCUUAGUUCCAAUAAUAUUCAUAAGUCCUUUCAAAGCAAAUCGGAUAGUAUGGAUAUAUGGACCUGAUGCAUAUGACCUGGGUGGCAUAAAGGGCAGUGAGAUUGGAAUAUGGAUCUAAGCAGUGGCAAGGUACCUGUAUUUCAUAUAAAGUAGAAUAAUUUACCAAAGUGUAUUAUGAAAAGUUAAGGAGGAAUAUUGUAAUACUCAGGAUAACUAAUCGUAAUAUUCACCAAGUAGGCAUAGCUAUAAAAAACUAACAAGGAACUCUAAAAUAAUUAAUAAUUAAAAAAAGGAGGAGGAACAGAAAGAAAAACUAGAGGGAAUAAACAAAGGAAAUUUAAAAAACAGUAAGUAUAAAUAUAGCCAUAGUAAUAAUUACAUUUAAUAUUAAAGAAAUAAAAAUCUGGGCAGCCUGGGUGGCUCAGCGGUUUAGCGCCGCCUUCAGCUCAGGGUGUGAUCCUGGAGACCCAAGAUCGAGUCCCAUGUUGGGCUCCCUGCAUGGAGCCUGCUUCUCCCUCUGCCUGUGUCUCUGCCUCUCUCUCUCUCUCUCUCUCUCUCCCUCUCUCUCUCUCUCCCUCCCUCUCUCUCUCUGUGUCUCUCAUAAUAAAUAAAUAAAAUCUUUAAAAAAAGAAAAAUGGACAAUACAGGAAGUUCUAAUUAUGUACUAUGCGUCAGAAAUGUCUUUUAAAUAUAAAGAGACAGAUCAUUUGAAAAUAACUUGAGGGAAAAUUCUAUACCAUACAAACCAAAAGAAUAAGAAAGAUGGAGUGGCUACGUUAAUAUCAGAUAAAAUAAACUUCCAAAACAAAAAGUAGCUUCUGAGAUAAAGGGGAACAAUGUUUACAAUGAUAAAAGGAAGAGUAUAGUACCUGACCUAAAAUCUUAUUAUAAAACUGUAUUAAUUGAGACAAAGUAGUAUUGGCAUAAAGAUUAAUAAAUAGAUCAGUAAGCUAGAGUAGAGAGCGCAGAAAUAGAUCCCCACUUUUACAAUCAUUUGAUUUUUAACAAAGACAUCAAAUCAAUCUGAUAGAGAAAGGAACACCUUUUCAACAACUCUGCUGGCAUAAUGGGAUGCCCACAGAGAAAAAGCAAAAAAGUAAAUAAAAUUCAAAUUUAACUUUACUUUAAACUUUACACAAAAAUAAUGAGAUUAACUAUAAAUUAGCCACAAUGCUUUAAGAAAAACAUGACAUGAUCUUUGUGAUUUGGAAGUUUACCUAGAGCAAUCAUAGAAGGAUAUAUUUAUACACACACGAUUAUUUCUAUAUAUAAUGAUUAUAUAUAAUCUAUAUGUAUAUGAUAGAUUAUAUAUAAUUUAUAUAAGAAUAUCACAUCUAUAUAAAGAUUAUAUAGACAUAUAUUGCAAAUGAUAAUUAGACUUUAUCAGAAUUAAACUCUCCUGGUUCAUCAAAUUAUACCAUUUAAGAAAUUUGAAAAAAAAAAAAACAAGUCACACACUAGGAUAAAAUUAUCUGUAGAGUAUCUAUCUGACAAGGAUUUAUAACAUAUGGCUAUACUGAUUUACAACUUAGAAUACUUACGAGUUGAUAAUAUCAAUACAAACAACCCAAUAAAAUAAGUGUAAAUUUUAGCACUUUGUCAAAAAAUAUACAAUGUCCAGUAAAUACAUGCAGAAUUACUCAACAUAAUUAGACAUUAAGAAAUGCAAUUUAAGACCCUAAUGAAAUGCCACCUCAUAUCUGCCAGAAUUACUAACAUGGUAAAGAUAAAGAGCAACUGGAUAUUACAUAGCUUGGUGCAUGUGCAAAAAAUGGCCACAUCUUUAGGGGAAGUUAUAACCGUUUCUUAUAAAAUUGAACAUAAACAUUUAAACAUGUCUUUUUUUUUUAUAAGAAACCCACAAGAGGAAGUUUCUUUUUUUUAAAAUUUUUUUUAUUUAUUUAUGAUAGUCACAGAGAGAGAAAGAGAGGCAGAGACAUAGGCAGAGGGAGAAGCAGGCUCCAUGCACCGGGAGCCCGAUGUGGGAUUCGAUCCCGGGUCUCCAGGAUCACGCCCUGGGCCAAAGGCAGGCACCAAACUGCUGUGCCACACAGGGAUCCCCCAUUUAAACAUUUCUUAUAAAAUCCUACACUCUGAUCUAGCGGUUCCACUAAUUGGUAGUUACCCAAGAAAAUGGAAAAUGUAUUACACAGAUUUGUGCAGAAGC
This 2695-nucleotide long non-coding RNA is filed under the name Canis lupus familiaris (dog). Its description in RNAcentral is "lncRNA (ENSCAFG00845005593.1)". The record is from RNAcentral. Lineage: Eukaryota; Metazoa; Chordata; Mammalia; Carnivora; Canidae.